UACAGAGGGUGCGAGCGUUGUCCGGAAUCACUGGGCGUAAAGGGCGCGUAGGUGGCGACCCAAGUCGAAUGGUGAAAGCUCGCCGCUCAACGGCGAGUCGGCCACCGAUACUGGGUUGGCUGGAGCACUGUAGAGGCAGAUGGAAUUCCGGGUGUAGCGGUGGAAUGGCGUAGAGAGUCCGGAAGAACACCGGUGGCGAAGGCGGUC
RNAcentral lists this ribosomal RNA (207 nucleotides) under uncultured bacterium. Its description in RNAcentral is "partial 16S ribosomal RNA". It matches the Rfam family "Bacterial small subunit ribosomal RNA", at positions 524 to 726 of the family's 1533-position model. The record is from RNAcentral.